Molecule: long non-coding RNA, 543 nt
Filed under: Olea europaea (common olive)
Lineage: Eukaryota; Viridiplantae; Streptophyta; Magnoliopsida; Lamiales; Oleaceae
Description: long non-coding RNA (OEUR_LNC008226)
Source: RNAcentral
GAUAUUCUUUUAAUUUGAAUAAUCAUUUUUUGCGUAGAUUCGGGCAACUUUCUAGAGGGAUUAGGCGAGAAGUUAGCCCCGGUUUCUUCUAAUCAAAGGUUUAGAUAUAGAUUAUUCUAUUUAUUUUAUUUCCCGAAAGGUUGGGCUGACUUCAUCGCCCGGUCAGUACAAGAAUGGAUCCUGCUGAAGCCAUCUCCGACUUCGAUUUCUUUUCUUUAAUUGAAGCAGGGCUAAUUCUUUUUCUUGAGAGACGGGAAGAGGAGUGGCACGAACGGUAACAUAGAAAUGUUGUUUUCCUUUCAGUUUUUUCGGUAUUUUUUUCUUGUAAAUGGAGAUGAGAAGCCUGUCUGGGAGAUUUUUAAAUUAAUGGUGGAUAAGUGGGUAGUUCUUAUGUGUUCAUGAAAUGCGUGGAUAAAAAGUGAUUUGAUCAAUUGUAAACUUGUUUAUAAACAUUAGACAAACGUGGGUGUAAUCUAUAUAUAUGUUUUUCGGAUUUUAUUGUGUGUGGAAUAUAUGUUGUAGACAAAAAAUGUGUAAUCUUUU